This 932-nucleotide unclassified non-coding RNA is filed under the name Hevea brasiliensis (rubber tree). Lineage: Eukaryota; Viridiplantae; Streptophyta; Magnoliopsida; Malpighiales; Euphorbiaceae. The record is from RNAcentral.
GUUUUAUUCUAUUCUCUGCAUAAUCUCUUAGGUAAGCAAAGUUGGACAUAUUAUAUAUUAAACCGACACUAAGUGACACCUAACUAAUUAAAAGGAAAAAUCACUUUCUGCUUUGGUCAAGCCCUGAAAAGUUUACAUAAUUGAUAAAACUAACACACCUUGUAGCUUGUAAUUGCUUGUUGAGACAGGUCAUGACAUGGGGCAAACUCUUAAAGGUCUUCUCUAGGGAAAAGAUUGGCCCCAUAUCAGCUGUCUCCACCUCUUCCCUUACCACCACCAAUUCAAACAAACACCAAGUCCAUCCACCAUUUUACGUUACCGUUCAAAUAGAUACACAUGUAUAACUAUACAAAUUAAGAGAAGGUGAAAUAGGAGUUGAUAUUUCUUGAAAUAUAUAUAUAAAAAAGUGGGCAGCUCAAAAUAACAAUCUUUUUUUUUUCAAAGACAAGGGUUUCAGUAACAUACUAUGUACACAAACAAGGCAACACACAUUCAAGUAACUUGGAGAAAGAGAAGCUAAUAUGGCAACUAAAGAAAAUCACACUCAAUUCUCAUCUGUUUGAGCAGCACUUCCAGGAGCAUUUGCCAAAGAGGACGAUGAGGUUGCGGUUGAAUUGCUUCCACUGGAUUGAGAUCCUGAGGAAGAUGAGAACAAACUAUUGAAAGGCCAGGGAAAUGAAAACCUUCUCCCAUUUCCAUUUCGUCCUUCCCCUUCUCUCUCUUCAAUGUUACUUCCAUGAUGAUGAUGACGGUGACGGUGAUGAUGAUUACUACUAUUACUACUACUGUCACUGCUACUACUAUUGUUAUCAUCAGUAUCAUUGCUCUCCCUCUGCUGAAUGCUAAUCUGAGACCUCUCAGAAUCGGACUUGGACUCAUCAGCAGGUAACUGAAACCUGCAAACUGGACAAGAACUAUGAAGUUCCAGCCAU